CCGAGUUACAACUCCCAAACCCUGUGAACAUACCUAUCGUUGCUUCGGCGGAUCCGCCCCGGCGCCCUCGGGCCCGGAUCAGGCGCCCGCCGGAGACCCCAAACUCUUGUAUUUCUUUAGUAUCUUCUGAGUAAACAAGCAAAUAAAUUA
This 150-nucleotide unclassified non-coding RNA is filed under the name soil metagenome. RNAcentral's name for it is "partial internal transcribed spacer 1". The record is from RNAcentral.